This 492-nucleotide ribosomal RNA is filed under the name uncultured bacterium. RNAcentral describes it as "partial 16S ribosomal RNA". It matches the Rfam family "Bacterial small subunit ribosomal RNA", at positions 29 to 507 of the family's 1533-position model. The record is from RNAcentral.
AGUGAACGCUGGCGGUAGACCUAACACAUGCAAGUCGAACGGCAGCACAGUAAGAGCUUGCUCUUACGGGUGGCGAGUGGCGGACGGGUGAGGAAUACAUCGGAAUCUACUUUUUCGUGGGGGAUAACGUAGGGAAACUUACGCUAAUACCGCAUACGACCUACGGGUGAAAGCAGGGGAUCUUCGGACCUUGCGCGAUUGAAUGAGCCGAUGUCGGAUUAGCUAGUUGGCGGGGUAAAGGCCCACCAAGGCGACGAUCCGUAGCUGGUCUGAGAGGAUGAUCAGCCACACUGGAACUGAGACACGGUCCAGACUCCUACGGGAAGCAGCAGUGGGGAAUAUUGGACAAUGGGCGCAAGCCUGAUCCAGCCAUACCGCGUGGGUGAAGAAGGCCUUCGGGUUGUAAAGCCCUUUUGUUGGGAAAGAAAAGCAGCAGGUUAAUACCCCGCUGUUCUGACGGUACCCAAAGAAUAAGCACCGGCUAACUUCGUG